RNAcentral lists this ribosomal RNA (414 nucleotides) under Boana cf. geographica ABGD cluster 51. RNAcentral's name for it is "partial large subunit ribosomal RNA". It matches the Rfam family "Bacterial large subunit ribosomal RNA", at positions 1824 to 2447 of the family's 2925-position model. Lineage: Eukaryota; Metazoa; Chordata; Amphibia; Anura; Hylidae. The record is from RNAcentral.
CUUGAAUAAAAUAAGAGGUCCAGCCUGCCCAGUGAAAUUAUUCAACGGCCGCGGUAUCCUAACCGUGCGAAGGUAGCGUAAUCACUUGUUCUUUAAAUGAGGACUAGUAUGAAUGGCACCACGAGGGUUCUACUGUCUCCUUUUUUAAAUCAGUGAAACUAAUCUCCCCGUGAAGAAGCGGGGAUUUUUUUAUAAGACGAGAAGACCCUAUGGAGCUUUAAACAAACAUCAUUUGCUGCACAUAACUCUUUUACCUUCAUUAAAUAUAGCAUUAUGACCUUUAGUUUUUGAUUGGGGUGAUCACGGAGUAAAAUGAAACCUCCACGCCGAAAGGGUUUAUACCCUGAGCAAAAAGCCACAACUUUAAGCACUAAAAAAUUAACGUAAUUUGACCCAAUAUUUUGAUCAACGAAC